This is a long non-coding RNA of Acanthochromis polyacanthus (spiny chromis), 2354 nucleotides long. RefSeq lists it as uncharacterized. The record is from RefSeq and is a predicted model, not a curated record. Lineage: Eukaryota; Metazoa; Chordata; Actinopteri; Pomacentridae. The transcript is spliced from 3 exons.
UGCACCUGAAUGCACCAAUGACGUGAGUUUGAUCUUUUGAUUGUGUUUCGUUUGGAUUUGAAGAAGCUUUGAAGACGUUUCCUGAAGCCGGAGGAGAAAAUGAGCAGCUUUGUACCUUUGUGAGUGAAAGUAGCAGUUCCUCCUUAAGGUCAGAGAUUGCAGCAUCUGAGGGCCUCUUCAAAAGAAGACGUAGUUGAUGAAGAUGUUCUGGAGCAGAAAGACCACGACCAAGCAGCUUGGAGAUCUUAGGCAGCGUCUCCCUCAGGUCCCUCUCUAUCUCCCCACACAUCCACCAACCACUGGAACACAUCUCCAAAGUUCUACCGGGCCAGCUCAGCUUCCCCUCAGAAGAAGUGCUGCCAGAUGGAGGAGCCUUUUGAGAGGCAGCUGGCAUCGUGAUUGGAAUGUACUUUGGUUUGAUCCAAUCCGGCUUCAGCUCCAGAGACAGCAGGCGGGACGAAGCAAUGGAGGCCAGGUGGACAAAGACAUGCAGCUGAGUACAAUCCAGAAAACAGCAGAGGAGGAAACAAACAGAGUAGCAUAGUAUGUCUCUGAGAAAACAUCAUAGUAUAGCCUUUGGUAUGAAAAAAACGCCAUCAUAUACAUUGUAUAUUGUACAAAUAGCAAGUCAAAGGAAAGACACGUACAUUGUAGAAUUGUAGUAAUUGUGGGAUGACUGAUUUACUGAUUAUCAGUAUUUUAGUUUUUACUGAUUUAUGGUAAUAAAUACAUUAAAAAUGGCGCUACUUUGGCUCUAAACUUUUAUCUACCUGUGGUCGCUCUGUCUUCUGGAGUGAUUUGAUUGGUUAUAUGUCACGAAUAAAACUCCUUUAACUUAACAUCUGUAAACAAAACAAAAGUGUAUCAACAAAGUUUUCUGUUAGAGUUUGUUUUCUUCUAAGUUUAACUCCAAGAUUUUAAAUACUUUCAUUUACUACAAAUGAAUAUCUCUUCCAAAUGCCUCGCUAAUAAUCAUUAUCAGCCUUAAAAACCCACAAAACACCCCUCUAUACUCGACCACACUUAGUACAGUCCGGUUCCCCCUUCUAUAAAUCUGCUUGGAAUCUUUCACUUCCUGUUUGUCAAAGUGGCCUUCUACCUGGUUUUGUUGGAGCUCAUGCAACAAACAUUUUGGGUAACUGCACUUUAAUAUGGAUGGAUGACACUGAAUGAGAGCAUGUUUUAAUGAGACUGAGUUCAGAUGUGUAGCUCUGUCAUUAAAUAGGAAAUUAUUUCUCAGAGAAAAGUCUGAAAUGUUUGCUAGGUUAGCGUCCCACAUGUUCUUUGGCUCAGCUAAAGCUAACCAUCUGCAACUUCUGGAUCUCUUGAGUUGCUUGUUGUUCAAAUAUCUUUCUAGAGGUGCUGAAGCUCAGAAAGUCUGAGAUGUAUUUUCAAAAUAAGCUCAUUCUCAAGUCUUCUCUGAACUGUCCUCUUUAGUUUGAACUUUCCCUAAACUUAGGAGUUAAUGACAGAGCAGCACAUCCAGACUCAGCCUCAUUUAUAUAGAGAUUAAACUUCAGUGUAAUUCAUUGAUGUUAAAGUGCAGUUUUUCACAUGCUCCCGACCAAACCAGUCCAGGUAGAAGACGAUGUGAAGAGAAGCUCCAGAGGAUGAACAUCACACAUUUACGUUGGAAAUAAAUGUCCUUUAAUUAGACAUUGUCAUGCAAAAGUUGGAUUUCCCUUUAAUGUUCAAAUCUUUGUUGAUGUUGGUUUCUAAAUGUUUUUUGACACUCGGGCCCCAAAGAUUAAAACCUUCUAUGGCUCACAAGCUGCAAGAAUUCACACAUUAUCAACUAUCUUUCUGACGAAACUAAGAUAAAAAGUGAAGAACUGUCUGAUUCCUGCAUCAUGAAUGUAAAUCUUUUUGGUUUUUAUGACAGUAAACUGAAUAUAUUUAGGUUUGACAUUUUAUAAACCGAAACAAGAAAUGAAUUACUGGAGAAAACAAGCAACAGAUUAAUGGACAAAGAAAAUGUGUUUUCCAACAUAUAUGGCUGAAUUACUCCAACAUUACAAGAUACAUACAAUUUAAGUUCAAUUUUAUUUAUAGAACGCCAGUUACAGGUCAAAUUGUCUCAAGACUCUUUAUUUUUAUAUUUUUUGUAAUAUUUAAAAUAUGACAAAGUAAGAAAUUUAAACCUCUUGACUAAUGGACAAUUAAAAUAACUUUCUCCACUAAAACUAAUAAACAUGAGGUCAAAUAGAAGGAACAGUUUUAAAUCCUGCUGUCCACACCCAUCAGGAGCAAUUAGGAGUUAGGUGUCUUGUUUAGGGACACCUCGACAUGAGCACGACGGGCCGGGAGAUCGAACCGGCCACUCUACCCACUGAGCUAUGCUGUUUGAUAUUCUU